Molecule: ribosomal RNA, 112 nt
Filed under: uncultured bacterium
Lineage: Bacteria
Description: partial 16S ribosomal RNA
Source: RNAcentral
AUACACGUAUCAGGGUUUCUUCCCAAAUAAAAGCAGUUUACAACCCGUAGGGCCGUCUUCCUGCACGCGGCAUGGCUGGUUCAGAGUUUCCUCCAUUGACCAAUAUUCCUCA